RNAcentral lists this ribosomal RNA (1233 nucleotides) under metagenome. Its description in RNAcentral is "bacterial LSU rRNA". It matches the Rfam family "Bacterial large subunit ribosomal RNA", at positions 1564 to 2808 of the family's 2925-position model. The record is from RNAcentral.
UGAAUACGAGAUGCUACGGCGUCGAAGCAGUCUAUGUCAUACUUCCAAGAAAAGCUUGCACUGUCAUAAACAAAUAAUGCCUGUACCAUAACCGACACAGGUGGGUAGGUAGAGUAUACUAAGGGGCGCGAGAUAACUCUCUCUAAGGAACUCGGCAAAAUGACUCCGUAACUUCGGGAGAAGGAGUGCCUUAUUUAUAAGGUUGCAAUAACAAGAUCCAAGCAACUGUUUACCAAAAACACAGGUCUCCGCUAAGUCGUAAGACGAUGUAUGGGGGCUGACGCCUGCCCAGUGCCAGAAGGUUAAAGAAGUUGGUUAGCAUCCGCGAAGCUGAUAACUGAAGCCUGGUGAACGGCGGCCGUAACUAUAACGGUCCUAAGGUAGCGAAAUUCCUUGUCGGGUAAGUUCCGACCCGCACGAAAGGCGUAAUGAUUUGGAUACUGUCUCGGAGAGGGGCUCGGUGAAAUAGACUUGUCUGUGAAGAUGCGGACUACCUGCACCAGGACAGAAAGACCCUAUGAAGCUUUACUGUAACCUGAAAUUGAAAUUGGACUUUACUUGCGCAGUAUAGGUGGGAGGCGUUGAGAAUAUUCUUGCGGGAUUAUUGGAGCCAUCAGUGAGAUACCACUCUUGUAAUGUUAGAUUUCUAACUUUGUAUCAUUAUCUGGUCAAAGAACAGUUUCAGGCGGGCAGUUUGACUGGGGCGGUCGCCUCCUAAACGGUAACGGAGGCGCACAAAGGUUUCCUCUGAACGGGUAGAAAUCGUAUCUAGAGUGUAAAGGCAUAAGGAAGCUUGACUGUGAGACCUACAAGUCGAGCAGGGACGAAAGUCGGUCUUAGUGAUCUGACGGUGCUGAGUGGAAAGGCCGUCACUCAACGGAUAAAAGUUACUCUAGGAUAACAGGCUGAUCUCCCCCAAGAGUUCACAUCGACGGGGAGGUUUGGCACCUCGAUGUCGGCUCAUCGCAUCCUGGGGCGGUAGUACGUCCCAAGGGUUGGGCUGUUCGCCCAUGAAAGCGGUACGCGAGCUGGGUUCAGAACGUCGUGAGACAGUUCGGUCCAUAUCCGGUGUAGGCGUUAGAAUAUUGAGAGGAGCCUUCUUUAGUACGAGAGGACCGAGAAGGACAUACCUCUGGUGUACCAGUUAUCGUGCCAACGGUAAGCGCUGGGUAGCUAUGUGUGGAGUGGAUAACCGCUGAAAGCAUCUAAGUGGGAAGCCCACCUCAAGAUAAG